Molecule: ribosomal RNA, 389 nt
Filed under: Escherichia coli
Lineage: Bacteria; Pseudomonadati; Pseudomonadota; Gammaproteobacteria; Enterobacterales; Enterobacteriaceae
Description: bacterial SSU rRNA
Rfam family: Bacterial small subunit ribosomal RNA
Source: RNAcentral
GUUAAGUCAGAUGUGAAAUCCCCGGGCUCAACCUGGGAACUGCAUCUGAUACUGGCAAGCUUGAGUCUCGUAGAGGGGGGUAGAAUUCCAGGUGUAGCGGUGAAAUGCGUAGAGAUCUGGAGGAAUACCGGUGGCGAAGGCGGCCCCCUGGACGAAGACUGACGCUCAGGUGCGAAAGCGUGGGGAGCAAACAGGAUUAGAUACCCUGGUAGUCCACGCCGUAAACGAUGUCGACUUGGAGGUUGUGCCCUUGAGGCGUGGCUUCCGGAGCUAACGCGUUAAGUCGACCGCCUGGGGAGUACGGCCGCAAGGUUAAAACUCAAAUGAAUUGACGGGGGCCCGCACAAGCGGUGGAGCAUGUGGUUUAAUUCGAUGCAACGCGAAGAACC